GAUGAACGCUAGCGGCAGGCUUAAUACAUGCAAGUCGAGGGGCAGCAUGACUGUAGCAAUACAGUUGAUGGCGACCGGCAAACGGGUGCGGAACACGUACAGAACCUUCCUUCGAGCGGGGAAUAGCCCAGAGAAAUUUGGAUUAAUACCCCAUAGUACAACGGAGUGGCAUCACUUUGUUGUUAAAGAUUUAUCACUUGAAGAUGGCUGUGCGGCUGAUUAGGUAGUUGGCGGGGUAACGGCCCACCAAGCCUGCGAUCAGUAACUGGUGUGAGAGCACGACCAGUCACACGGGCACUGAGACACGGGCCCGACUCCUACGGGAGGCAGCAGUAAGGAAUAUUGGUCAAUGGACGAAAGUCUGAACCAGCCAUGCCGCGUGGAGGAUGAAGGUCCUCUGGAUUGUAAACUUCUUUUAUAUGGGACGAAAAAAGGGUUUUCUAACUCGUCUGACGGUACCAUAUGAAUAAGCACCGGCUAACUCCGUGCCAGCCGCCGCAGUAA
RNAcentral lists this ribosomal RNA (504 nucleotides) under uncultured bacterium. RNAcentral's name for it is "partial 16S ribosomal RNA". It matches the Rfam family "Bacterial small subunit ribosomal RNA", at positions 28 to 523 of the family's 1533-position model. The record is from RNAcentral.